GACGAACGCUGGCGGCGUGCUUAACACAUGCAAGUCGAGCGGUAAGGCCCUUUCGGGGGUACACGAGCGGCGAACGGGUGAGUAACACGUGGGUGACCUGCCCUCAGCUCUGGGAUAAGCCUGGGAAACCGGGUCUAAUACCGGAUAUGACUCCAUGACGCAUGUUGUGGGGUGGAAAGCCUUGUGCGGCUGAGGAUGGGCCCGCGGCCUAUCAGCUUGUUGGUGGGGUGANGGCCUACCAAGGCGACGACGGGUAGCCGGCCUGAGAGGGCGACCGGCCACACUGGGACUGAGACACGGCCCAGACUCCUACGGGAGGCAGCAGUGGGAAUCUUGCGCAAUGGGCGAAAGCCUGACGCAAGCGACGCCGCGUGAGGGAUGACGGCCU
RNAcentral lists this ribosomal RNA (388 nucleotides) under uncultured bacterium. RNAcentral describes it as "bacterial SSU rRNA". It matches the Rfam family "Bacterial small subunit ribosomal RNA", at positions 28 to 417 of the family's 1533-position model. The record is from RNAcentral.